UAGGGAAUCUUCCACAAUGGGCGAAAGCCUGAUGGAGCAACGCCGCGUGAGUGAUGAAGGUUUUCGGAUCGUAAAACUCUGUUGUUAGGGAAGAACACCCGAGAGAGGAUCUCGGACUGCCGGUACCUAACGAGAAAGCCCCGGCUAACUACGUGCCAGCAGCCGCGGUAAUACGUAGGCAGCGAGCGUUGUUCGGAGUUACUGGGCGGAAAGAGUGCGUAGGCGGCGAGCCAAGUUUGGUGUGAAAUCUCCCGGCUUAACCGGGAGAGUGCGCCGAAAACUGGUUGGCUGGAGUAUGGGAGAGGAAAGCGGAAUUCCUGGUGUAGCGGUGAAAUGCGUAGAUAUCAGGAGGAACACCUGCGGUGUAGACAGCUUUCUGGACCAAAACUGACGCUGAGGCACGAAAGCGUGGGUAGCAAACA
Molecule: ribosomal RNA, 422 nt
Filed under: uncultured bacterium
Lineage: Bacteria
Description: bacterial SSU rRNA
Rfam family: Bacterial small subunit ribosomal RNA
Source: RNAcentral